AUACGGAGGAUCCGAGCGUUAUCCGGAUUUAUUGGGUUUAAAGGGUGCGCAGGCGGGAGAUUAAGUCGGCGGUGAAAUUUUGCAGCUCAACUGUAAAAGUGCCUUCGAAACUGGUUUCCUUGAGUGUAGAUGAAGUAGGCGGAAUUUGUGGUGUAGCGGUGAAAUGCAUAGAUAUCACGAGGAACUCCGAUUGCGCAGGCAGCUUACUAAACUACUACUGACGCUCAGGCACGAAGGCGUGGGGAUCAAACAGGAUUAGAUACCCCGGUAGUCCACGCAGUAAACGAUGAUUACUAGCUGUUUGCGAUACAAUGUAAGCGGCUGAGCGAAAGCGUUAAGUAAUCCACCUGGGGAGUACGUUCGCAAGAAUGAAACUCAAAGGAAUUGGCGGGG
Molecule: ribosomal RNA, 393 nt
Filed under: uncultured bacterium
Lineage: Bacteria
Description: partial 16S ribosomal RNA
Rfam family: Bacterial small subunit ribosomal RNA
Source: RNAcentral